GGACCCGCACAAGCAGUGGAGCAUGUGGUUUAAUUCGACGCAACGCGAAGAACCUUACCAGCGUUUGACAUGAGAAGUGCCGGUUACAGAAUGGUAACCUUCAGUUCGGCUGGCUUCUACACAGGUGCUGCAUGGCUGUCGUCAGCUCGUGUCGUGAGAUGUUGGUUAAGUCCCGCAACGAGCGCAACCCUUAUCGUUAGUUACUAACAGUUCGGCUGAGGACUCUAGCGAAACUGCCGGUGAUAAGCCGGAGGAAGGUGGGGAUGACGUCAAGUCCUCAUGGCCCUUACACGCUGGGCUACACACGUGCUACAAUGGUAACUACAACGGGACGCAAUACCGCGAGGUGGAG
RNAcentral lists this ribosomal RNA (352 nucleotides) under uncultured bacterium. RNAcentral's name for it is "bacterial SSU rRNA". It matches the Rfam family "Bacterial small subunit ribosomal RNA", at positions 917 to 1267 of the family's 1533-position model. The record is from RNAcentral.